UUAAUACCGAUACUAAAUCAUUAUAUCAUGACACUUUCUGAAAUAUACCUAUAUAUGUAUAUAUGUAUGUAUGCUUAGUUUUUCAGCUUAUAAACGAUCAUUCAAGAUACUUUAUUCCAAAUUCUAUUUUUCUAAAUUAUCGCCCACUGUUUUCAAUUCUCUUUAGGAUACAAUGACUCUCUUUAAUCACCAGGGUAAAUAGAUUGAGGUUCUGAAAUUUUUACGCCAUAUUUAAAACGUAAACGACUUUGAAUAAGCUUUCAGUAAUCUUAAACAAUAUUAUAUACUAAUAUAUGCAGCUAGUAGCUCGACAAAAAGUGCAACAUUCAGAUCAAUAUGUGAUUUAUAAUAUAAAAGUUCAAUAACAUGUAUAUAAAAUAUCUAAAUAAUUUGAUUCAUUAUAAUAUAGCCUUUUAUUUUUCUCCCUUUGAUUUCUUUCUACUUUGUACAAGGAUAGUAUGGAAAUUCUAGGUUGACUGAUGGUAACGAAAAUUGGAACAAUGGAAUGUCUGCAUUUAUAUUUAUAUUUUCUUUAGAAUUUGCUGAAUAUUCCAGCGUUGCCUGCUUGCAUAUUGGUCGAGAAGUUGAGAUAAAGAUCAAAAAAUAGAUAGAAAACAUAUUACGAAGAUGACUUUGAAGUCGAUCAGAACGUAUGAAGAUGUUAUGCAUAUGAUUGGAGGGUUCGGCCUCUAUCAGAGAAUCUGUUUCGUCUUCAUACAGAUGGCCGAUUUAUUUGGCGCGUUUAUCAUCUUCUCUCCGAUUCUCAUAGCUGCUGUCCCUGCAAAUUUGGAUUGCUCUCCGUCAAACCAAACAAAUGGAACGAAUUCUUCUCAGCAAUUUGAUGAGAAAACAUCAACUAUCGUUGCUACAUGGCAACUUGUUUGCGACAAGGCUUGGGUACCAGAUACAAUCAAUACAAUACAAAUGAUAGGUUUCUUCCUUGGAGCCGCAAUUUUUGGGCAAUUGAGUGAUGCAACAGGAAGGAGACAUACAUAUUUCUUUGGAAAUUUAGUGCUAGUACUACCAUGUCUUGUUUCUGCUUUCGUUCCAAACUGGUAUUACUAUGCCGCUUGUCGUUUAUUUAGUGGUAUCGGAUUCGGAGGUCUACAAGUAAUAAGCUCUGUAUAUCCUUUAGAAAUUGUAUCGAAGAAGUACAGAAGUUUAGCUGGGACAUUUGGGUUUUGGGCUAUUGGACAAAUGCUUUUAGCACCAAUGGCCUAUUAUUUUAGAAAAUGGCAAACUCUUCUUAUAGUUUCCUGUUCAACAAGCAUUCCGUUCUUUCUUGGAUGGUUCUUUGUACCAGAGAGUCCAAGAUGGUUACUGCAAAAAGAAAGAUAUCACGAAGCUCACAAAAUUCUGCAGAAAAUUGCUAGGAGAAAUGGGCGAACUUGUCCCGACUUGGGAACGCUCAAAAGAAUUACUGUAAGAGAUGAUAAGCGUGUUUCCUGCAUGAAACUAUGGGUCAGAGAACAUUUUAAGAAAACAGCAGUCUUAGGGUUGAGUUGGUAUACCGUCUACUGCACAUAUUACGUAAUAUCUUUUAACUUUCCACAUGACCUUAUAAAUAACAAAUAUCUGAGUAUACUAAUAAUUGGAGCUGUUGAUUGGCCUGCAAUGUUAUCCGUAAUUGCCGCAAACUGCUUGACUGGAAGAAAAAAAUCGCUUUUCAUCUACAUUAUAAUAGCUGCCAUUGGGGUUUUGACAAUUCUAAUAAUUGGUAUUUUGAAAAUGCGAAAUGAUUUGAAAGUUCUUCUCUUUAUUGGGGGACUAAUGGCUAAGGGUUGUAUGGUUGCGAACAUGUAUGUUCUUAGAAUUUAUACUGCAGAAACUUAUCCAACAAUCGUUAGGUCAUCGGCCGUUGGCCUUGGGAGUAUGUUUGGGUGUAAGGGGAGUAUUUCAGCUCCUCUUCUUUUACUUACGUUCCAUAAAUUCCCUCUCGGACCUUUCUUGGUUAUUUUUAUACUAUUUGUGUUGACGUUAAUAUUAGUGUUCCUAUGCCUAUCUGAAACAAAAGGUUUGCACCUCAGCGAUUCUUUCAAAGACCAACAGAUGGCGUUGAAAAGCAACUAUAGUAAAGAUGUUGAAGACGAAAAGAGUUACGAGCAAGGGGAAUUGGUGUCUAACGGCGAAAAAGAGCAAAUUACAUUUUAUUAAACAGCUAAAUUGUCAGGUUUAAGCUUAACACGUAUUAGCUAACAAAAAGACUGUAAUAUUUAGAUAUAAAUUUUGUUUUUUUGCGCAUAACGUCCGAGUAUGGAGACCAUAAAUAUUCCACAUAAUUUGAACAUAAAUAUCCAUUUAUUAUGUUCAAUUUAUUGAUAGUUUAGAGUGAGUAUAUUAUUGACUUGCCUUGUUUUCUAUUGUUUCUCUUUUGCUUGUACACGCACAUACAAAUAUAUAUAUGUAUUACACAUGGUUAUAGAUGAUAAAAUAGAAACAAUUAGCAUCAUUUUUAACACUGCUACCGUUUUUUGACAAGACUGUUUUCUACAUUGUUUAAAUAGCAAAGGUAUUUCCUGAUUUAUAUCUAAAAAAAAUCCGUAUUUUUUUCUAAUAUGUGUCAUAUUUUUACAUUUUAACUUUUGUUAAUUUUUACUGCUUUACGUAUACUGCAAAACUAAAAUUUUCACGAAUAUAUGUAUUGUGAUAUUAUAUACUAUAUUGAGCAAUAAAAUAGGGUAUAAAAUGACAAAAUGCAUACAUCUUACGGUGGAAAAAGAUCUGAUAUCAUCUACUAUAAUAAAGUUAGGUCAGAAUGAUGAAAAGAGAGGAAGAGAAUUAGCCGAAUCCAAGUAAAGAGGAAAAAGCACGAUAAUAAAAAGGCGGUGGCUAUAAACGUUCUUAAAUCGUCUAAUCAAUAAUAAUAUCCACUCGAAUGCCUUCUUCAACAAAAUAGCCAAAGAACGUCAAGGCGUUUUGGAUCGUGAUUGACAAACCAAGGUACGCCCCCUGGUGAGAAGCGCGGAUGUCAACCGCGUUUCAUUCGCUCUCCUCCAGAGAGAAGGCCAAUGGAUAAAGAUUUGAAGAGAAAAUACUUGAAAAUUUUCUUUCUAUUCUCAUCUAUAUCAACAUUGGCAAUAUUCUUCUUAUGUUCCGGUAUAAGACCUUCAGUUUGUAGAAUAACUUUACCGCAAGUUCAAAAUAAUAGGAUACACUAUAAGCAUGCCAAAAGGAGACUUCCUAAAGCUAUAAUAAUAGGAGUCAGAAAAGGAGGAAGCCGAGCACUCUUGGAAUUCCUUGAUAUUCAUCCAAAGAUUAGGAUAUGUCAUCGUGAAAUGCACUUUUUUAAUAAUGACGACGCAUACGCUGAAGGAUUGGAAUGGUAUAGGAGGAAGAUGCCCUACUCCUUUGCAGAUCAAAUCACCAUCGAAAAAACACCCGCCUAUUUUACCUCGAUCGACGCCGCCCAGCGAAUUCACUCGAUGAAUUCUUCCAUUAAACUAAUACUGGUGGCGCGUAACCCUACUGAUCGGGCGAUCAGUGACUAUGAACAAAUCCAACAAAACCGCUUAAGCAGGAACAAACAACGGCAAACUUUCGACGAGUUGGCAUUUAAUGCAGACGGCGGAGUACAGGAAGACUAUUCGGCCAUAGAAAGAGGCAUUUAUCACAAGCACUUAUCCGUCUGGCUAAACUAUUUCUCACUCGAUCAAAUUCUAGUACUAUCAUCGGAACUACUAAUAACUGAUCCGGUCUUGGUUCUACGGAAAGUUCAACUGUUUCUGGGACUACAACCUUACAUUCGACAAAGUCAUUUCGUUUAUAAUCCGUCGAAAGGAUUUUUCUGCAAAGCCGAUUCAGUGGGCCGUCAAUGUUUGUCAAAGAGCAAAGGUCGAACUCAUCCUAAGCUUUCCCCUAGUACAAGACGAAAAUUAGAAGAAUUCUAUAUACCGCACAGUCAGCAUUUUUAUAAAAUGGUCGGCAGGAAUUUUGCAUGGUUUCCAAAUGACAGUAUUAACCUCACAUGAAAAAAAAAACCAACAUAAAUACAGCAUUUUCCUUUCUUUAUCACUUUAUGGGUUAUGGUGCCAUCUAGUGUCAACACCAUAGAGACAUUGAAAGGAAUCGAAUGAGUGAACAAGUGAAAGACAAAAAAAUUACGAAAUUGUAAACAAAAUAUCAAUAAAGAAACUAACAAAACAGCUUAAUUACAACUAUAGUAAUAUAAUAAAGAUUUUAUUUAUUUAAUAUU
Molecule: unclassified non-coding RNA, 4192 nt
Filed under: Dimorphilus gyrociliatus
Lineage: Eukaryota; Metazoa; Annelida; Polychaeta; Dinophilidae
Description: mFS domain-containing protein
Source: RNAcentral